This 29-nucleotide non-coding RNA is filed under the name Rattus norvegicus (Norway rat). The record is from RNAcentral. Lineage: Eukaryota; Metazoa; Chordata; Mammalia; Rodentia; Muridae.
UCUGUGUUCUCAUUGCGACUGCUCUUCUA